Molecule: non-coding RNA, 881 nt
Organism: Paramuricea clavata
Lineage: Eukaryota; Metazoa; Cnidaria; Anthozoa; Malacalcyonacea; Plexauridae
Source: the annotation of a GenBank genome assembly
GGUUUUUCUUUACUCAAUAAUUCAUACAGUAUAUAUUACAAAAUUUAACUAUGACGUCAUGUGGCUGUGACGUCAUGUGCAAACGCUCUAUUUACCAAUUGUGUGACUUUGUAUGCUGGUAUGAUAUGGUAUGAUAUAAUUCGAAAUUAUACAGAGUGUCCCCCAAAAAGGUGACACUGUAGUAGAAAUUAUCCUAUUGUUGUUGAUUUCAUGCGCCUGGUAAUUAAAAAUGCAACUUCAAUUGUGUUUACGAACUCUUGUGUUGAGCAAAGUGCUCAGUCAUUCAAAUAUAACAAUAGCAUAAUUUCUAUAGUGUCACUGUUUUGGGAAAACCCUAUCCAAUCACUCGUCACGAUUUAUGCGCAUGGUAAUUUUUUGCCAAAUUGCAUGAAUUUCUUAACAUCGGGAAAGAAGCUCUGUCGGCACAUGUGUUGAAAAUCGUCGAAAAUCGUAGGAAAUCUUCUUUCAAAGUUGUCCAAAAUGUUACAGUCAAUACAACAUACGCUUAUUUCAUCUUUUGUCUUCACAAUUCGUGGUAUCAUGAAGAAAUUGGACGGAAAUCACCAAUUACAUCUGAACGUGUUUGCGACUCGACGUGUGCGGCUGAGCCUGAGGUAUACAAAUGUUAUGCUUUGUUUAUAAAAAUAGAACUAUACUAUGUCUAUGCUGAAAUGACUAUGUCUAAGAAAAUCCGGUAGGUUUAUCCCCACAUAUUUCCGCUAUAUCAAUGUGUUCGUUGCAAACGAUUUACUGAAAUUUCUGCAUGGUAUAGUUUGUACUGCUGCUAGUUAUGAGUAAAUCGCCAUUGUGGUGGAACAAAGUCUUGUCCAAACACCGGUGUUCAUUGUUUUAAACUGAAGAAUGGCACUUUCAUAUUCAAC